AUGCAGCUUUUUGGAAUGGAGGGAGUACAACUUACAUAUCUGGUGGAGCAGUCGCUGGAAGGGGCAAAUGGGACAAUCUUGGAGAUCCAACGGAGACUGAGAGCAAACUUUGAACACAAAAGCAGGGCAAGGAAUCAGUUCUGGUCAAAAGAUACCUGCUGGAGUCGUUGGUGUCGUUGGGUGGAGUUAAUUGGACAAUUGAGGAUAUCCAACAGAGAUUUGGCGAUAUCCAAGGGGCGCCCAUAUGAAGGGUUUGGCAUACGCAAGCGGGCAAAACACAGGACAAAUGCCUACAUUGUCUGCUCAAGAGAAGGGACGCACAAACAGACUGUGUCAGAUUAUCACCGGGUACGUCAGAAGACAUCAAAAAGGAUUGGCUGCAAAGCAAAGAUUAGAGUCGAAAAAAGGAAGGAUGGCAAAUUUGUGAUAGAAAUGGUUCAACUCAACCACAAUCACAAGAUGCUGGAAAGCCCCGGGAUGCUUUUGCACAUGCGAUCGCACAAAAAAGAUGAUCCUUUGAUAGACCAGUUAGUGAAAGACAUGCAACUGGACAACCACACACAUGCUCAGAUGAUGUCGAUGUUGUCGCGUAUGUUCGGUGGUCUGCAGUACAUGGGACAUACUAGCCGCGACUGGAUAACAAGAAACAGAAGUUUACCAGAGAAGAGUCUGAAGAUGAUGUCAAGAAACUUCUGGAUUUCUUCGAGAAAAUGCAGAAGAUAA
Molecule: ribosomal RNA, 723 nt
Filed under: Triticum aestivum (bread wheat)
Lineage: Eukaryota; Viridiplantae; Streptophyta; Magnoliopsida; Poales; Poaceae
Description: partial small subunit ribosomal RNA
Source: RNAcentral